AGAGAAUUGCGUUAUACGGAGUUGUACUGCUACCAGCCAAGAAUGCCAAUGACUCCCAGUAACCAUUAGAAGCUAGAAGGGGGGAAGAAGAAAUCUCACUAGAGCCUUCAGAGAGAAUAUGGCCCUGCUGAAACAUUGAUUUCAGACUUAAAGCCUCCAAAACACAUCAUGAAAUUUGACCUCUUCAGCCGUGCAUGGUUAACACUAUAACCCAUCUCCUUGAGAAGAACCCCUGAUGAAAAAGAAAUCCUCUCCAAAUCAAUAUCUUCAUUCAUCACUACACUACAUGUUCUAUUUUCCUUCCUCCAUUUCUCAGAGGAAGGAGUUCUAUUACUUGCCAUUGAUCUUAAAAUUAUAGUUAUCCUCCACUGUGCUGCCAUCCAUAAUUUCAUGUCCUUCAUUUGUGGCUUUGUUUUCAAUGGCUAUAAGCAUUUUCAAUUUUGUCCCAUUAUAACAAGGCUGUCACUCAAUACUGUCUGGAAUCAUUCAGCAUAUACCCUCUCCUUCCCUUCGUUGCUGAAUUUCUCAAAAGAGUAUUACCUUCUUU
Molecule: long non-coding RNA, 547 nt
Filed under: Homo sapiens (human)
Lineage: Eukaryota; Metazoa; Chordata; Mammalia; Primates; Hominidae
Description: non-protein coding lnc-ACSS3-2:1
Source: RNAcentral